Molecule: ribosomal RNA, 200 nt
Filed under: uncultured bacterium
Lineage: Bacteria
Description: partial 16S ribosomal RNA
Rfam family: Bacterial small subunit ribosomal RNA
Source: RNAcentral
AGAGUUUGAUCCUGGCUCAGAAUGAACGUUGGCGGUGCGCCUAACACAUGCAAGUCGAGCGAGAGUAAUCUAGCGGCAAACGGGUGAGUAACGCGUGGGAAUCUGCCCUUUAGUGAGGAAUACCUUCAAGAAAUUGGAGUUAAUACUGCAUACGUCCCUUCGGGGAGAAAGAUGGCCUCUUUGCUAUCGCUAAAGGAUGA